Molecule: ribosomal RNA, 1980 nt
Filed under: Listeria monocytogenes
Lineage: Bacteria; Bacillati; Bacillota; Bacilli; Caryophanales; Listeriaceae
Description: partial 23S ribosomal RNA
Rfam family: Bacterial large subunit ribosomal RNA
Source: RNAcentral
GAUAAACUCCGAAUGCCAUGUACUUAUACUCGGGAGUCAGACUGCGAGUGAUAAGAUCCGUAGUCGAAAGGGAAACAGCCCAGACCACCAGUUAAGGUCCCCAAAUAUAUGUUAAGUGGAAAAGGAUGUGGGGUUGCUUAGACAACCAGGAUGUUGGCUUAGAAGCAGCCACCAUUGAAAGAGUGCGUAAUAGCUCACUGGUCGAGUGACCCCGCGCCGAAAAUGUACCGGGGCUAAACAUAUUACCGAAACUGUGGAUGAACCUCUUUAGAGGUUCGUGGUAGGAGAGCGUUCUAAGGGCGGUGAAGUCAGACCGGAAGGACUGGUGGAGCGCUUAGAAGUGAGAAUGCCGGUAUGAGUAGCGAAAGAAGGGUGAGAAUCCCUUCCACCGAAUAUCUAAGGUUUCCUGAGGAAGGCUCGUCCGCUCAGGGUUAGUCGGGACCUAAGCCGAGGCCGAUAGGCGUAGGCGAUGGACAACAGGUAGAGAUUCCUGUACCAGUGCUAAUUGUUUAACCGAUGGGGUGACACAGAAGGAUAGGGAAUCGCACGAAUGGAAAUGUGCGUCCAAGCAGUGAGUGUGAGAAGUAGGCAAAUCCGCUUCUCGCGAAGCAUGAGCUGUGAUGGGGAAGGAAAUUAAGUACGGAAGUUCCUGAUUUCACGCUGUCAAGAAAAGCCUCUAGGAAGAGUAGUACUGCCCGUACCGCAAACCGACACAGGUAGAUGAGGAGAGAAUCCUAAGGUGAGCGAGAGAACUCUCGUUAAGGAACUCGGCAAAAUGACCCCGUAACUUCGGGAGAAGGGGUGCUCUAUUAGGGUGCAAGCCCGAGAGAGCCGCAGUGAAUAGGCCCAGGCGACUGUUUAGCAAAAACACAGGUCUCUGCAAAACCGUAAGGUGACGUAUAGGGGCUGACGCCUGCCCGGUGCUGGAAGGUUAAGAGGAGUGCUUAGCUUCGGCGAAGGUACGAAUUGAAGCCCCAGUAAACGGCGGCCGUAACUAUAACGGUCCUAAGGUAGCGAAAUUCCUUGUCGGGUAAGUUCCGACCCGCACGAAAGGCGCAACGAUCUGGGCACUGUCUCAACGAGAGACUCGGUGAAAUUAUAGUACCUGUGAAGAUGCAGGUUACCCGCGACAGGACGGAAAGACCCCGUGGAGCUUUACUGCAACCUGAUAUGGAAUGUUUGUACCGCUUGUACAGGAUAGGUAGGAGCCGAAGAGACGUGUGCGCUAGCAUACGAGGAGGCAAUGGUGGGAUACUACCCUGGCUGUAUGACCAUUCUAACCCGCCACGCUUAGCGCGUGGGGAGACAGUGUCAGGUGGGCAGUUUGACUGGGGCGGUCGCCUCCUAAAGAGUAACGGAGGCGCCCAAAGGUUCCCUCAGAAUGGAUGGAAAUCAUUCGCAGAGUGUAAAGGCACAAGGGAGCUUGACUGCGAGACUGACAAGUCGAGCAGGGACGAAAGUCGGGCUUAGUGAUCCGGUGGUUCCGCAUGGAAGGGCCAUCGCUCAACGGAUAAAAGCUACCCCGGGGAUAACAGGCUUAUCUCCCCCAAGAGUCCACAUCGACGGGGAGGUUUGGCACCUCGAUGUCGGCUCGUCGCAUCCUGGGGCUGUAGUCGGUCCCAAGGGUUGGGCUGUUCGCCCAUUAAAGCGGCACGCGAGCUGGGUUCAGAACGUCGUGAGACAGUUCGGUCCCUAUCCGUCGCGGGCGCAGGAAAUUUGAGAGGAGCUGUCCUUAGUACGAGAGGACCGGGAUGGACACACCGCUGGUGUACCAGUUGUUCCGCCAGGAGCAUCGCUGGGUAGCUAUGUGUGGCAGGGAUAAACGCUGAAAGCAUCUAAGCGUGAAGCCCCCCUCAAGAUGAGAUUUCCCAUUUCUUCGGAAAGUAAGAUCCCUGAAAGAUGAUCAGGUAGAUAGGUUUGGAGUGGAAGUGUAGCGAUACAUGGAGCGGACAAAUACUAAUCGAUCGAGGACUUAACCAA